UACAGAGGUCUCAAGCGUUGUUCGGAUUCAUUGGGCGUAAAGGGUGCGUAGGCGGCGCGGUAAGUCAGGUGUGAAAUUUCGAGGCUUAACUUCGAAACUGCAUUCGAUACUGCCGUGCUUGAGGACUGGAGAGGAGACUGGAAUUUACGGUGUAGCGGUGAAAUGCGUAGAUAUCGUAAGGAAGACCAGUGGCGAAGGCGGGUCUCUGGACAGUUCCUGACACUGAGACACGAAGGCCAGGGGAGCAAACGGG
Molecule: ribosomal RNA, 253 nt
Filed under: uncultured bacterium
Lineage: Bacteria
Description: partial 16S ribosomal RNA
Rfam family: Bacterial small subunit ribosomal RNA
Source: RNAcentral